Non-coding RNA from Strongylocentrotus purpuratus (purple sea urchin), 74 nucleotides. NCBI's taxonomy places the organism in Eukaryota, Metazoa, Echinodermata, Echinoidea, Camarodonta, Strongylocentrotidae. The record is from Rfam.
GGGGGUGUAGCUCAGUGGCAGAGCAACUGACUUAUAAUCAGAACUGGUCCCGGGUUCGAUCCUCGGUACCUCCA